GGGGUGGCUCGAGUGGCGAACGGGUGAGUAACACGUGAGUAACCUGCCCUUGACUUUGGGAUAACUUCAGGAAACUGGGGCUAAUACCGGAUAGGAGCUCCUGCUGCAUGGUGGGGGUGGAAAGUUUCGGCGGUUGGGGAUGGACUCGCGGCUUAUCAGCUUGUUGGUGGGGUAGUGGCUUACCAAGGCUUUGACGGGUAGCCGGCCUGAGAGGGUGACCGGCCACAUUGGGACUGAGAUACGGCCCAG
RNAcentral lists this ribosomal RNA (249 nucleotides) under uncultured Actinomycetales bacterium. RNAcentral's name for it is "partial 16S ribosomal RNA". It matches the Rfam family "Bacterial small subunit ribosomal RNA", at positions 83 to 334 of the family's 1533-position model. The record is from RNAcentral. Lineage: Bacteria; Bacillati; Actinomycetota; Actinomycetes; Actinomycetales.